This 333-nucleotide ribosomal RNA is filed under the name uncultured Anaerolineaceae bacterium. Its description in RNAcentral is "bacterial SSU rRNA". It matches the Rfam family "Bacterial small subunit ribosomal RNA", at positions 1037 to 1382 of the family's 1533-position model. The record is from RNAcentral. Lineage: Bacteria; Bacillati; Chloroflexota; Anaerolineae; Anaerolineales; Anaerolineaceae.
GGUGCUGCAUGGCUGUCGUCAGCUCGUGUCGUGAGAUGUUCGGUUAAGUCCGCUAACGAGCGCAACCCUCGCUGUGUGUUACAAGUGUCACACGGAACUGCCGGUCAUAAACCGGAGGAAGGUGGGGAUGACGUCAAGUCAGCAUGGCCUUUAUAUCCUGGGCUACACACACGCUACAAUGGGAAGGGACAAUAGGUUGCGAAGCCGCGAGGCGGAGCCAAUCCAGCAAAACUUCCCUCAGUUCAGAUUGCAGGCUGCAACUCGCCUGCAUGAAGUUGGAGUUGCUAGUAAACGCAGGUCAGCCAUACUGCGUUGAAUACGUUCCCGGGGCUU